ACGAGGUCAAGACGUCAAUAUCUUCAAUAAAACGUAGACUUUGAUCAUUGAAGCUACGACUUAUCUGAAGCGGAGCGCGUACUUCACUCCAUUUGACCAUCUAUGAACGACUGAACCACUGCAAAAGACAACAAACAACAAGACGUCCAAAUGUGAGCCGCCUACGAGCGAUGGAGUGGACCGUUUCACCUGAUGCCGCCAAAUAUGGGACAAAAUGUGAACAAAAAAGAAGCUCCAAAGACUGGUUUCCUCCAGAGAUGGCGCUAUUGAGAAGAAGACUGCACAUACUAGACGAGUGUACUCCGUGGUGUGAAGACAAUCUGUUUGGAUUGAAGGAUCAAGGCUGCGGCACAGAGCAAACGAACGAGUGGAACGAGUGGGACGCUUCUGUAUUAUAUGACAGAAUAUAAAGGAAACUCAAAUUGGGAUACGGCUUGAACUUGCUGGGCGGAACUGGUUUGGUGACUUUCCUAAAACCAAAUGUGUUGUGGCUGGAGAACGUUAUCCAUGACAAACGCUGAAUAAUCCACAGACGAGGACAAGCUAUUUAAAUGUGCGGACUCUCCAGAUGCGUGCAGACUCAUGGCGAUACUAUGGGUCAUUUCACCUGAACAGAGCAACUUACAGCUUACGUUCAGAAAAUAUGGGAUGGCAUCUGGACAUAAACGGAGCUCCAAAGACUGGUUUCCUCCAGAGAUGGCUCAAAUUAAGAGGCUGAUCUACUACAACAUGCUCGCUGGACUCCGGGACAGUUGGGCAGGGUUUGGUGAACAAGACAAAAAGGUUUUCAGCAAGUCACUGCCAUAAAACUCUGAGGACUCGAGAAUGAUCUGACUUCACUACAGUGUGGGCAGCUCCAAUAAAACUUUAUUUAUACACU
Long non-coding RNA from Periophthalmus magnuspinnatus, 880 nucleotides. RefSeq lists it as uncharacterized. The transcript has 3 exons. The record is from RefSeq and is a predicted model, not a curated record. NCBI's taxonomy places the organism in Eukaryota, Metazoa, Chordata, Actinopteri, Gobiiformes, Gobiidae.